RNAcentral lists this long non-coding RNA (985 nucleotides) under Sorghum bicolor (sorghum). RNAcentral's name for it is "long non-coding RNA (SBIC_LNC010849)". Lineage: Eukaryota; Viridiplantae; Streptophyta; Magnoliopsida; Poales; Poaceae. The record is from RNAcentral.
UAGCUAGCAGGUGGCAUAGGUAUAUUUGAAAGUCGGCAGUAUCUUGACAGCGAUUAGAAUGUCCUCCGUCUGCUUGUCUUCUUGAUUCUUAAAUUUUGUGGAGCUCAAAUAGACAACAAAGCUUUGUGGAACUAAUUAAGUGUUAGCAUAAAUAUCUAGCCUUUAUCAUGUUGAGACUCCUCAAUAAAUAUUACUCCCUAUUUUUAUAUUUUCAUUUUAUAAAGCAGAAAAGAAAUAUUUAUUUUAUUUUUAUGCCACCACAGUGAAUGUACUUAUGGGUUUCAUGCCACUCAUAUACUCACAUGGGGCUUACUAUUCUUUAACAUUUUUAUUUUCUUUUUAAGAUAGUAUGAGCAUAAUUAACUAAGCAAACUAGUUGGAAUAAUUGAAAGGGAAAUGAUAACUACCAAGUUUACCUCUUGGCAAGGCAUUCGAUGUUUUUAAGUCCUCCGAACGGGACUCUCCAUUUUCUCAAUUGUCCUGGGAUUCGUUGGGUGGCGGAGUCGGUACUUCCGGCGGCGCCUCUUCUUCAUGUAUGGUUAUCUUCUCUUUCCAUUCCUGACUCGGUGCUACGGUCUCCUCUGGAUAAUUCUGUUUAAACUGUAUGUCUUUUGACCUUACCACUUCUCCUUCAUAGUCUGCCCAUCCGUCCUUGAUGAUUUCCCUCCUCUGGUUGCGAUUGCGUCAUUUCCUGACCUGCUUAGAUUCUUCAAAGAUGGAGUUAGGGUCAGUAAAAUAGCGGCGUACCUUCUCUGAGGGGAGGUGCAUAUGGACUUCUCCAGUUCCAAUGUAGAUGAUUGCUUUAACGGUGCUGAGGAACGGUCUUCCAAGGAUGAUGGGUGGAUCGUAUUCGUCUUCUCCCAUGUCAAUAACCUGAAAGUCUGUGUAGACAAAAUGAUCAUCUAUUUUGACUGGGACAUCAGUUACUAUUCCUUUAACUUCUCGAAAUGUCUGAUCUGCCAUCUGGAGCUGAAUGUACGUUGGU